Long non-coding RNA from Lolium rigidum, 446 nucleotides. RefSeq lists it as uncharacterized. The transcript is spliced from 4 exons. NCBI's taxonomy places the organism in Eukaryota, Viridiplantae, Streptophyta, Magnoliopsida, Poales, Poaceae. The record is from RefSeq and is a predicted model, not a curated record.
GAAGGAGGGAGGGCUCCACCUGCGCCUCCAUCGCUGCUCCCUCCUCCCCUCCCUUCCUCUCCGCGAUUUCGCGCCGCCAUGGGGCUUUCACCUGAUGAAACCGCCAGCAUAGAGGAGGCCACCAAUGAUGCUACUGCUGCUGAACGAUUUGUCGGAGGUAUACUGCAAUGAGUCUGAUCCAUUUUUAGGAACACUUGCCUUUAAGUACCUUCCAAUUGGGACUCUCUACGAGAAUCUUCACGGUUUCAGAUGGAUCUCUUCCAGACUCAACCAGCUCGCUGCCAUGAUACUCCAUGUCCAGGUACAAUAAUGUAUGCUCCAAAUAUGCACACUCACUUGCAGGGCUGAAACUGUAGACACAAAGAAUGGGUAGUCAAGUUCAUGUGUUUUGUCUACUGUUACCAUCUGGACCUAAAUAUACUCCACUAGGAUCUCUUGCUAAUGAG